This 274-nucleotide ribosomal RNA is filed under the name uncultured bacterium. Its description in RNAcentral is "partial 16S ribosomal RNA". It matches the Rfam family "Bacterial small subunit ribosomal RNA", at positions 523 to 796 of the family's 1533-position model. The record is from RNAcentral.
ACACGGAGGGCGCAAGCGUUGCUCGGAAUCACUGGGCGUAAAGCGGGUGUAGGCGGUCUAGCAAGUCAGAUGUGAAAGCCCACGGCUCAACCGUGGAAGUGCAUCUGAAACUGCUAGACUCGAGUGCCGGAGAGGGAAGUGGAAUUCCUGGUGUAGGGGUGAAAUCCGUAGAUAUCAGGAGGAACACCGGUGGCGAAGGCGACUUCCUGGACGGCCACUGACGCUGAGACCCGAAAGCGUGGGGAGCAAACAGGAUUAGAAACCCUUGUAGUCC